Molecule: unclassified non-coding RNA, 250 nt
Filed under: Coniochaeta lignicola
Lineage: Eukaryota; Fungi; Ascomycota; Sordariomycetes; Coniochaetales; Coniochaetaceae
Description: partial internal transcribed spacer region
Rfam family: Eukaryotic small subunit ribosomal RNA (bases 1-46)
Source: RNAcentral
AAGUCGUAACAAGGUCUCCGUUGGUGAACCAGCGGAGGGAUCAUUAUUAGAAGCCGAAAGGCUACUUAAAACCAUCGCGAACUCAUCCAAGUUGCUUCGGCGGUUGCGGCGUUCCCUCACGGGGCGCCGCGGCCCCGCCUCUCCGGAGGUGUGGGGCGCCCGCCGGAGGUACGAAACUCUGUAUUAUAGUGGCAUCUCUGAGUAAAAAACAAAUAAGUUAAAACUUUCAACAACGGAUCUCUUGGUUCUG